UAGGGAAUCUUCGGCAAUGGGGGGAACCCUGACCGAGCAACGCCGCGUGAGUGAAGAAGGUUUUCGGAUCGUAAAGCUCUGUUGUUAAGGAAGAACGAGUGUGAGAAUGGAAAGUUCAUACUGUGACGGUACUUAACCAGAAAGGGACGGCUAACUACGUGCCAGCAGCCGCGGUAAUACGUAGGUCCCGAGCGUUGUCCGGAUUUAUUGGGCGUAAAGCGAGCGCAGGCGGUUAGAUAAGUCUGAAGUUAAAGGCAGUGGCUCAACCAUUGUAGGCUUUGUAAACUUUUUAACUUGAGUGCAGAAGGGGAGAGUGGAAUUCCAUGUGUAGCGGUGAAAUGCGUAGAUAUAUGGAGGAACACCGGUUGCGAAAGCGGCUCUCUGGUCUGUAACUGACGCUGAGGCUCGAAAGCGUGGGGAGCGAACAGG
This 429-nucleotide ribosomal RNA is filed under the name Bacteroidota bacterium. Its description in RNAcentral is "Bacteroidetes bacterium partial 16S ribosomal RNA". It matches the Rfam family "Bacterial small subunit ribosomal RNA", at positions 355 to 776 of the family's 1533-position model. Lineage: Bacteria; Pseudomonadati; Bacteroidota. The record is from RNAcentral.